GCUAGAUCACUGACAGGGGGAGCUGCGCAAUUAUAUAUAUAAUUAUAUAUUAUAUAUGUAUAUUAUAUGUUUACGUCGCAAAUUUGGAAAUAUUUCUGUUUUAAACCGUGAAGGCGAGCCAAUGGAUAUCACAUAAGCAACGUGCAAAUUUUGCGCAAGAGGUAUGCCGGUGAACGUCUUAAUCUCAGUCAAUUCACUAGAGAAAGUGAAAGUAAAAACGGAAUAACGGAGUAAUGACAAAGCUUUCGGCAUUUGACGCCGCAUAUUCUCUCAGAGACAAUCCGAAUCUACUUCAACAUAUGCUGAUAACGGACAAUUCGACGGUUGUUGUGGUUGACGGCAAACGCAUCAAUGAUGCGCUGAACAUCCAAAGCCUUCGCUCUUCGUGUACUGAUGGCCAAGAGUGCCAAGUCGCUGUUCCGGGCAUCCCCACAGUUGCUUCUCAGAUAUGUUUUCAAGCGUCGGAGACAAGAGAAAGAUCUCUCACAUGACACAGAUGUCACAGGAAGUGUCAGAGAUAUCAAGAUGAGUUUGUACGCCGGACUUGGUGCAUCUCUGCGUUUAAAUUUUCUUCAGUGAUACCGUAAAACUGUGCCAUGGGCAAUAGACACUUCUUUUCUAAGAAUGACUUGUGUUGUGGGCUGAGGGCUGAGACCCCCGUCAACACAUCGUUGGCAUCUUUAGAGAAGCGUCUCAUCAACUCACUGACCAGUCUGUCAACAACUUGAUAAAAGCAGUCGGUGCGCAGAUCAUCAUCAGAGCUGUGAGCGCGGUGUAUAGGAGCCUCAAUGAUAAAGUCAUUCAGUCGCUGGCUUUGUCGGGCAUCUCUCCUUUGUGGUUGUGUGCUCCCCGAUGCUAGGCCAACCUUGCCACACAGUUAAUUUGCACGGUUUUGUAGGUCGCUCCAGUAUUCCUCUGAACGUUUUUCGGAUAGUGCUGUGACGACAGAUUGGAUCAAAUCACUUGCUGAUGAAAUGUCCAGAUUGGGUGACUGGAGCUGGUCUGAAGCAAAUUUGGUGACCCGGAAAAUGUCCUCAAAUAAAACAAGAUGCAAAACAAACUGUUGGUCGAUAAGCCCCUGCAUUGCCCUUGCAUCUGUUUUUCGCCUCGCAUUCGUUUGUACCUGAAUAUCCUGCAAAGUGGCCAGAAUGGCG
This is a long non-coding RNA of Onychostoma macrolepis, 1154 nucleotides long. RefSeq lists it as uncharacterized. The record is from RefSeq and is a predicted model, not a curated record. NCBI's taxonomy places the organism in Eukaryota, Metazoa, Chordata, Actinopteri, Cypriniformes, Cyprinidae. The transcript is spliced from 3 exons.